RNAcentral lists this ribosomal RNA (238 nucleotides) under uncultured Pseudomonas sp. RNAcentral's name for it is "partial 16S ribosomal RNA". It matches the Rfam family "Bacterial small subunit ribosomal RNA", at positions 114 to 356 of the family's 1533-position model. Lineage: Bacteria; Pseudomonadati; Pseudomonadota; Gammaproteobacteria; Pseudomonadales; Pseudomonadaceae. The record is from RNAcentral.
UGCCUAGGAAUCUGCCUGGUAGUGGGGGACAACGUUUCGAAAGGAACGCUAAUACCGCAUACGUCCUACGGGAGAAAGCAGGGACCUUCGGGCCUUGCGCUAUCAGAUGAGCCUAGGUCGGAUUAGCUAGUUGGUGAGGUAAUGGCUCACCAAGGCGACGAUCCGUAACUGGUCUGAGAGGAUGAUCAGUCACACUGGAACUGAGACACGGUCCAGACUCCUACGGGAGGCAGCAGUG